RNAcentral lists this ribosomal RNA (301 nucleotides) under uncultured bacterium. RNAcentral's name for it is "partial 16S ribosomal RNA". It matches the Rfam family "Bacterial small subunit ribosomal RNA", at positions 509 to 809 of the family's 1533-position model. The record is from RNAcentral.
CAGCAGCCGCGGGAAUACAGAGGGUGCGAGCGUUAAUCGGAUUUACUGGGCGUAAAGCGUGCGUAGGCGGCUUCUUAAGUCGGAUGUGAAAUCCCUGAGCUUAACUUAGGAAUUGCAUUCGAUACUGGGAAGCUAGAGUAUGGGAGAGGAUGGUAGAAUUCCAGGUGUAGCGGUGAAAUGCGUAGAGAUCUGGAGGAAUACCGAUGGCGAAGGCAGCCAUCUGGCCUAAUACUGACGCUGAGGUACGAAAGCAUGGGGAGCAAACAGGAUUAGAUACCCCCGUAGUCCCUGUCCUUAUACA